GAUGAAGAACGCAGCGAAAUGCGAUACGUAAUGUGAAUUGCAAAUUCAGUGAAUCAUCGAGUCUUUGAACGCACAUAGCGCCCCCUGGUAUUCCGGGGGGCAUGCCUGUCCGAGCGUCAUUGCUGCCCUCAAGCACGGCUUGUGUGUUGGGCCCCGUCCUCCGAUCCCGGGGGACGGGCCCGAAAGGCAGCGGCGGCACCGCGUCCGGUCCUCGAGCGUAUGGGGCUUUGUCACCCGCUCUGUAGGCCCGGCCGGCGCUUGCCGAUCAACCCAAAUUUUUAUCCAGGUUGACCUCGGAUCAGGUAGGGAUACCCGCUGAACUUAAGCAUAUCAAUAAGCGGAGGA
This 345-nucleotide unclassified non-coding RNA is filed under the name soil metagenome. Its description in RNAcentral is "partial contains 5.8S ribosomal RNA, internal transcribed spacer 2, and large subunit ribosomal RNA". The stretch from base 1 to 119 matches the Rfam family "5.8S ribosomal RNA", at positions 35 to 154 of the family's 154-position model. The record is from RNAcentral.